Solanum dulcamara is the source of this 104-nucleotide small nuclear RNA. NCBI's taxonomy places the organism in Eukaryota, Viridiplantae, Streptophyta, Magnoliopsida, Solanales, Solanaceae. The record is from RefSeq and is a predicted model, not a curated record.
GUUUGAACCCUUCAGAGACGUCCAAUAAAAUUGGAACAAUAUAGAGAAGAUCAACAUGGGCCUCCAUGAUGACAUGAACAAAUCGAGAAAUGAUCCAAAUUUAC